This 568-nucleotide ribosomal RNA is filed under the name uncultured marine eukaryote. RNAcentral's name for it is "bacterial SSU rRNA". It matches the Rfam family "Eukaryotic small subunit ribosomal RNA", at positions 623 to 1059 of the family's 1831-position model. The record is from RNAcentral.
AAAGCUCGUAGUUGGAUUCAGAGGUGGGGUUGUGGGUCGGGUGUGGCCCGGCAGCUUGUCUCCGUGUGCCGCUCCCAAUCAACCCGCGUUUGCCCCAGCCUCCUAUCGCACGGAAACGGAGUCCUGCUGGGGUCUCCUUAACUGGGGGUUCCAGCGCUUCCGCGCACAACGUGCGCUUACGGACCGUCCGUGGACGUUACUGUGAACAAAACAGCGUGUUCAAAGCAAGUGGCUUGCCUGCCCUGCAUGUUAAAGCAUGGAAUAACAAGGCAUCGACCACUCGGCGGUGCUUUUGUUGGUCUUUCCCUCCCGGUGGGAAUGCGCAGGCGUGCACACUGCCGGCCUUCUGGCCGGUCUGGGUGCCGUCUCUUCGAGAUCAAUAGGGGCAAACGGGGAGAUACCUAUUGUGGGGAGAGCGGUGAAAUGCGAUGACCCCCAUAAGAGGAACUUCAGCGAAAGCAGUUCUCAAGACUGCCUUCGUUAAUCAAGAACGAGACUGUGGGGAUCAAAGAUGAUCAGAUACCGUCGUAGUCCACUAGCGUAAACGAUGCCGACUCAUCAUUGGGGG